This 649-nucleotide ribosomal RNA is filed under the name uncultured bacterium. RNAcentral describes it as "bacterial SSU rRNA". It matches the Rfam family "Bacterial small subunit ribosomal RNA", at positions 56 to 749 of the family's 1533-position model. The record is from RNAcentral.
UGCAAGUCGAGCGCAGUCCUUCGGGACCGAGCGGCGGACGGGUUAGUAACGCGUGGGAACAUACCCCUUUCUACGGAAUAGCCUCGGGAAACUGAGAGUAAUACCGUAUAAGCCCUUCGGGGGAAAGAUUUAUCGGGAAGGGAUUGGCCCGCGUUAGAUUAGAUAGUUGGUGGGGUAAUGGCCUACCAAGUCUACGAUCUAUAGCUGGUUUUAGAGGAUGAUCAGCAACACUGGGACUGAGACACGGCCCAGACUCCUACGGGAGGCAGCAGUGGGGAAUCUUAGACAAUGGGCGCAAGCCUGAUCUAGCCAUGCCGCGUGUGUGAUGAAGGUCUUAGGAUCGUAAAGCACUUUCGCCAGGGAUGAUAAUGACAGUACCUGGUAAAGAAACCCCGGCUAACUCCGUGCCAGCAGCCGCGGUAAUACGGAGGGGGUUAGCGUUGUUCGGAAUUACUGGGCGUAAAGCGUACGUAGGCGGAUCAGAAAGUUAGGGGUGAAAUCCCGAGGCUCAACCUCGGAACUGCCUCUAAAACUCCUGGUCUUGAGUUCGAGAGAGGUGAGUGGAAUUCCAAGUGUAGAGGUGAAAUUCGUAGAUAUUUGGAGGAACACCAGUGGCGAAGGCGGCUCACUGGCUCGAUACUGACGCUGA